Molecule: ribosomal RNA, 252 nt
Filed under: uncultured bacterium
Lineage: Bacteria
Description: partial 16S ribosomal RNA
Rfam family: Bacterial small subunit ribosomal RNA
Source: RNAcentral
UACAGAGGGGGCAAGCGUUAUUCGGAAUUAUUGGGCGUAAAGGGCGCGUAGGCGGCUUUGCAAGUGACGGGUGAAAUCCCUCGGCUUAACCGAGGAACUGCCUGUCAAACUGCAUGGCUUGAGACCGGGAGAGGUGAGUGGAAUUCCCAGUGUAGCGGUGAAAUGCGUAGAUAUUGGGAGGAACACCAGUGGCGAAGGCGGCUCACUGGACCGGUACUGACGCUGAUGCGCGAAAGCGUGGGGAGCAACAGG